Molecule: non-coding RNA, 72 nt
Organism: Suillus discolor
Lineage: Eukaryota; Fungi; Basidiomycota; Agaricomycetes; Boletales; Suillaceae
Source: the annotation of a RefSeq genome assembly
GGCUGGAUAGUCUAGUGGUUAAGAUGUUCCUCCAGAGUUGGGAAGGCCUGGGUUCAAAUCCUGGUCCUACCA